AGUGGAUGGGGAGCAACCUAGUUGUGCGUGUGUAAAGGUAGUGCCAAGAAAAGCGAUGAUCAUGUUGAAAUCAAUUCCCGGUACCCGAAACCGACACAGGUGGGCAAGUAGAGAAUACUAAGGGGCGCGAGGUAACUCUCUCCAAGGAACUCGGCAAAAUGACCCCGUAACUUAGGGAGAAGGGGUGCCACCGAGAGGUGGUCGCAGUGAAGAGGCCCAGGCGACUGUUUAGCAAAAACAUAGGUCUCUGCAAACUCGAAAGAGGAGGUAUAGGGGCUGACGCCUGCCCAGUGCCGGAAGGUUAAAGAAGUUGGUCAGUUUUAGGAUGAAGCUAGCGACUGAAGCCCCGGUGAACGGCGGCCGUAACUAUAACGGUCCUAAGGUAGCGAAAUUCCUUGUCGGGUAAGUUCCGACCCGCACGAAAGGCGUAACGAUCUGGGCGCUGUCUCGGAGAGAGGCUCGGCGAAAUAGGAUUGUCUGUGAUAUACGGACUACCUGCACUUGGACAGAAAGACCCUAUGAAGCUUUACUAUAGCUUGGAAUUGUGUUCGGGCUUCCUGUGCGCAGGAUAGGUGGGAGGCGUAGAAGGUAUUCUUGUGGGGAUACUGGAGCCAACGGUGAGAUACCACUCUCAGGAGGCUAGAAUUCUAACUUAAUUAAGGACAGUUUCAGGUGGGUAGUUUGACUGGGGCGGUCGCCUCCAAAAAGGUAACGGAGGCGUACAAAGGUUCCCUCAGACUGGUUGGAAAUCAGUCGAAGAGUGCAAAGGCAGAAGGGAGCUUGACUGCGAGAAGUACAGUUCGAGCAGGGUGGAAACACGGUCUUAGUGAUCCGACGGUGCUGUGUGGAAGGGCCGUCGCUCAACGGAUAAAAGUUACUCUAAGGAUAACAGGCUGAUCUCCCCCAAGAGUUCACAUCGACGGGGAGGUUUGGCACCUCGAUGUCGGCUCAUCGCAACCUGGGGCGGAAGUACGUCCCAAGGGUUGGGCUGUUCGCCCAUUAAAGCGGUACGUGAGCUGGGUUCAGAACGUCGUGAGACAGUUCGGUCCAUAUCCGAUGUAGGCGUGAGAAUAUUGAGAGGAGCCUUCCUUAGUACGAGAGGACCGGGAAGGACGCACCGCUGGUGUACCUGUUAUGAUGCCAAUUGUAAACGCAGGGUAGCCAAGUGCGGAGAGGAUAACCGCUGAAAGCAUCUAAGUGGGAAGCCCACCUCAAGAUGAGUAUUCUGGUGUAAGGUCACGGGAAGACGACCCGUAAAUAGGCACGAGGUGGAAGUGCAGAGAUGUAUGAAGCCGAAGUGUACUAAUAGACCGCCGGC
RNAcentral lists this ribosomal RNA (1318 nucleotides) under metagenome. RNAcentral's name for it is "bacterial LSU rRNA". It matches the Rfam family "Bacterial large subunit ribosomal RNA", at positions 1561 to 2925 of the family's 2925-position model. The record is from RNAcentral.